GGCUGUGAGGGCGAUCUGGCUGCGACAUCUGUCACCACAUUGAUCGCCAGGGUCGAUCCAGCUGAUCUGGCUGGCUAGGUGUGUGUCCCCUUCCUCCCUCACUGCUCCAUGUGUGUCCCUCCGGAAGCUGCACACUUGGUCAAGGACGACGACCAUCCCUCAUAGAGGAGGACCAGUCUUUGGUCAAGGGUAUACGAAUAGCUGUGCUCCCCUGUUAGAACCUCCCAACAAGAUCUCAAAAUAAGAAACAACUAAGGGAAAGUCACCAAAAAACAUCUUCUUUUAAAAGUCAUGUAAGACUACUUU
RNAcentral lists this small nuclear RNA (306 nucleotides) under Rhinopithecus bieti (black snub-nosed monkey). RNAcentral's name for it is "7SK RNA (ENSRBIG00000002805.1)". It matches the Rfam family "7SK RNA". Rfam says of the family: 7SK was discovered as an abundant small nuclear RNA in the mid-70s but a possible function has only recently been suggested. The record is from RNAcentral. Lineage: Eukaryota; Metazoa; Chordata; Mammalia; Primates; Cercopithecidae.